Molecule: ribosomal RNA, 500 nt
Filed under: uncultured bacterium
Lineage: Bacteria
Description: partial 16S ribosomal RNA
Rfam family: Bacterial small subunit ribosomal RNA
Source: RNAcentral
AUUGAACGCUGGCGGCAUGCCUUACACAUGCAAGUCGAACGGCAGCGGGGACUUCGGUCCGCCGGCGAGUGGCGAACGGGUGAGUAAUGUAUCGGAACGUACCAUUGAGUGGGGGAUAACGUAGCGAAAGUUACGCUAAUACCGCAUAUUCUCUCCGGAGGAAAGCAGGGGACCGCAAGGCCUUGCGCUCUUUGAGCGGCCGAUAUCAGAUUAGCUAGUUGGUGAGGUAAAGGCUCACCAAGGCGACGAUCUGUAGCGGGUCUGAGAGGAUGGUCCGCCACACUGGAACGGAGACACGGUCCAGACUCCUACGGGAGUCAGCAGUGGGGAAUUUUGGACAAUGGGGGCAACCCUGAUCCAGCCAUGCCGCGUGAGUGAAGAAGGCCUUCGGGUUGUAAAGCUCUUUCGGCCGGGAAAAAAUCGCAUGGGCUAAUACCCUGUGUGGAUGAUGGUACCGGAAUAAGAAGCACCGGCUAACUACGUGCCAGCCGCCGCUGUAA